CAGAAAACUUAGAGAUACUCAAGGUGCCACAGAUCCAUCGACUCCAGCCUCAAACUCAAGGCACUCUAUUCAUUAAAGGGGGCGGUCUCUAAAUGGGCUCCAGAGUUCAAGGAUCACCACCAGAAAGGAGUAGAUGCCUGUGAGGACAAAAGCUACACAUGCCCUGUUGAGGACCACCUGGUCUUUAGGAUGCAGAACACCAGGACCUGUAAAAGUUGUGGUGCCCAGUCUACCAGACAGGAAGACUUCAGCAACCUGUCUCUGAAUCUGUUACCUGGAGGUUCAGUCCAGAUGCUCCAGGAUUACCUAAUGG
Centropristis striata (black sea bass) is the source of this 313-nucleotide long non-coding RNA. RefSeq lists it as uncharacterized. Lineage: Eukaryota; Metazoa; Chordata; Actinopteri; Perciformes; Serranidae. The transcript has 3 exons. The record is from RefSeq and is a predicted model, not a curated record.